Non-coding RNA from Mollisiaceae sp. DMI_Dod_QoI, 72 nucleotides. The record is from the annotation of a GenBank genome assembly. NCBI's taxonomy places the organism in Eukaryota, Fungi, Ascomycota, Leotiomycetes, Helotiales, Mollisiaceae.
AGCAUUUUGGCGCAGAGGAAGCGCGCUGGGCUCAUAACCCAGAGGGCUCUGGAUCAAAACCAGAAAGUGCUA